GCAUCUGUAGCUCAGCUGGAUAGAGUAUUGGCCUCCGAAGCCAAAGGUCGCGCGUUCGAAUCGCGCCAGAUGCGCCA
RNAcentral lists this transfer RNA (77 nucleotides) under Leucothrix sp. RNAcentral describes it as "tRNA-Arg". It matches the Rfam family "tRNA". Rfam says of the family: Transfer RNA (tRNA) molecules are approximately 80 nucleotides in length. Their secondary structure includes four short double-helical elements and three loops (D, anti-codon, and T loops). Further hydrogen bonds mediate the characteristic L-shaped molecular structure. tRNAs have two regions of fundamental functional importance: the anti-codon, which is responsible for specific mRNA codon recognition, and the 3' end, to which the tRNAs corresponding amino acid is attached (by aminoacyl-tRNA synthetases). tRNAs cope with the degeneracy of the genetic code in two manners: having more than one tRNA (with a specific anti-codon) for a particular amino acid; and 'wobble' base-pairing, i.e. permitting non-standard base-pairing at the 3rd anti-codon position. The record is from RNAcentral. Lineage: Bacteria; Pseudomonadati; Pseudomonadota; Gammaproteobacteria; Thiotrichales; Thiotrichaceae.